Molecule: small nucleolar RNA, 132 nt
Filed under: Dasypus novemcinctus (nine-banded armadillo)
Lineage: Eukaryota; Metazoa; Chordata; Mammalia; Cingulata; Dasypodidae
Description: Small nucleolar RNA SNORA31 (ENSDNOG00000034522.1)
Rfam family: Small nucleolar RNA SNORA31
About the family: ACA31 (SNORA31) belongs to the H/ACA class of snoRNAs which are thought to guide the sites of modification of uridines to pseudouridines.
Source: RNAcentral
AUGCAUCCUUCUCUGACAGACCUGGAGCAGUUAAUGUCUCCUGUUAAGGUUUCCACUAGAGAUGCAAGAAAAAGAAGUCCUCACACUUUUUGUCUUGUUGUGGCAGCCAAGAUUGAAUGGGGGAUAACAGGA